This 301-nucleotide ribosomal RNA is filed under the name uncultured bacterium. RNAcentral's name for it is "partial 16S ribosomal RNA". It matches the Rfam family "Bacterial small subunit ribosomal RNA", at positions 509 to 807 of the family's 1533-position model. The record is from RNAcentral.
CAGCCGCCGCGGUAAUACGAAGGGUGCAAGCGUUACUCGGAAUUACUGGGCGUAAAGCGUGCGUAGGUGGUGGUUUAAGUCCGUUGUGAAAGCCCUGGGCUCAACCUGGGAAUUGCAGUGGAUACUGGGUCACUAGAGUGUGGUAGAGGAUAGUGGAAUUUCCGGUGUAGCAGUGAAAUGCGUAGAGAUCGGAAGGAACAUCUGUGGCGAAGGCGACUAUCUGGGCCAACACUGACACUGAGGCACGAAAGCGUGGGGGGCAAACAGGAUUAGAUACCCCCGUAGUCCCUGUCUCUUAUAC